Molecule: long non-coding RNA, 2361 nt
Organism: Triticum dicoccoides
Lineage: Eukaryota; Viridiplantae; Streptophyta; Magnoliopsida; Poales; Poaceae
Exons: 7
Source: RefSeq, a predicted model, not a curated record
UCGAGUGAUAACCCCGCCAGAGGACACCCUUCGCCGACGCCAUUGCGCUCGCAACAAGGAUCCCUGCGCUAUCUCCGUUAACGUUCGCCGCCAUCGAUCCCUUCACCGCCGAACCCCUUGCCAUCGCGCUCGCAACAAGGAUCGAGGCCUCCAGACUGCCCUCCAUCCGUGCACUAUCUCCGUUGGCCGCCGCCGCCGCCUCCGAUCCCCUUCAGGAGCCUACGCCCUAGGUCACAUCGGCGCCGCUGCUACGCCGCCGCCACCAUUCCGCUCGCACGCUGCCAUCACCAUCACCCCUCUCGCAUGCCUCUGCCGCCAUCACCCAUUGUCGCAGCUCGGAUGUGGAGCUCGUGUGCCAUGGCCGCCAUGGCAUCCAUGGCCGACACGAGGGGACCCUCGGCCUCGGCCGUGGCUGCCUGCUCGGGAAACGGGGUCGCCACGUCCGACUCCCCUAGCGCCUCGUGGACCGGCAUCAGAGUCCCCAGGUCCGCCGCCAUCGAACUCAGGUACGCCUCGACGGACAUGGUCGAUCAAGUGAUCUAAUCUGAUCCCAUGUUCCGAAGUCCUAAUGAGAACGUACUCCUACGUGGAUCCAAGUCCGAGUUGGGAGCGACGUCGAUCUGAUGAACGUGCAAGGAAUUUCUGAAUCCAAGACUUAUAUUUUACUAUAUAUGUUCACUGGUUAUUCAAUUCAAUUGUUCGUACAACAGCAGAUUUUUUUUCUUUUAGCACAAAUUCCAGUAGUUGUGUUUGCUUCUUUUGAAGAUCACCAGCCAUAUCACAACUGUUCCCAUCCAACAGGUUAAGCAGAACUGCAAAAGCAACAACAAAUUUUCUAUGGUACAUUGUUUUUUUAGUUUCAGUCCAUCAAAUUCUCUGGUUGAAAUGUGUGUGUCUUGCUGCAGCGGCCAGUGCAGUUUCGACUUCAGUUCAGAGUCACACUCUCUCUUGCUGCUCUCUGCCAUCUAGAUCAGCCCUGGAUCUAGACGAUUUCAUGCCCUCCAUUGCGGUUGUUGCUAUAAUAUGAUUUAUUACAACUUGUUUGAAUGGGUUAGAAGGGAGUGAUGAACUGUUUCGUGAGCUUUCAUGUACCUUCCAAUUUCAUUGUCAUUUGAAGUGUGAACUUGCUUCAAACAGUCAAUUUGCCUUCCUGCCACAAUAUUUCUCGGCAACGGUGGCCAAACGAGACCGCCCUCCACGCCGGGACGCUGACACGACGGCCUGCAUGUCCCUGCUCUGACGGACGCACCAAACUCCACAACUUCCCCGCAAUCUGACCACGGGCAGACACACUUUCUUCAGGGGAAUUCAGGUUACAGUACUGUGUAAUCAUGGAGCACAGAGCAGAGCCUCUCCGAUCGGAAAAUUUGGACGUGAAGAGAACACCUUAAAUUAGUUAAGCGGUACACGUUUACUCGAGUGCUCUAACAGCUACACUAACCUGGCAGAAUAUGACCAGAAUUCAGUAGUGUCAUGAGGCCUGUGGUGGCCAAGGUUUGAAGACCGAGUUUUCAAAGCUGAACUGAUGUCCAGUCUAGAUCUGAGGGUGACAACAACAUUCUACUUCUACUGCAGCAGGUUAUUUUACUUUUUGUUCAUCGUUCAUGCAUGUGUUCUAAACGUUACUCCAGGCUUGGUUUUGUAUCUCUGUAAUCUGUAUAUAAAUAUUGGCUUUUUUUGGAGGAUGAGAUGAAUGCUCCUGCUGGGUAUAAUGCUCUUGAUUGUAUUCUGGCGCCAUAGGUCAGAGAAGCCAAAAGGAGGAGCCAUGACUAGCUCCGUUUUCUCGCAGUGACGAUGGCCUUCCUCUAACAUCAGCUUCCAAAAGGAUACUAUUGUGAGAUUGUAUGAUACAUAAAAGACGCCUCAAGCCCCUAGACGGAAGCAUCCAGUCUCGCUGUUCUACCAAGUUCGCCGGAACGCAGACCGCGUGUGGUCCACCUCAGUUAAUUUGCCUUCCUGCCACAAAAUUUCUCGGCAACAGUGGUUGUAUUGGAAACAUCAGCUUCCAAAAGGAUACUAUUGUGAGAUGGUAUGAUACAUAAAAGACAGGCUCAAGCCCCUGUACUGGAGCAUCCAGUCUCGCCGUUCUACCAAGUUCGCCGGAACGCCAACCGCGUGUGCUCCACCUGAAGUACGCCGUUCUAAAAUUCACACAUCCAAGCCAUGAGUAGCCCUAAAGUAGCAAGUUGUUAUAUUUCAAAAUUUAUUUGUAGGAGCAUGUGUUUCGGGCUUUAUACUUCACCAUGAUCUUUUACUGUGUGCAUGUAACCAUACCGUCUACUAGAUCAUGGAAGGCGCGCGUUGCUGCGCCCGUCUGUUUGUAAUAUUGAAUAUUAAUGUUCAAAGAAAAUAUUGAAUAAU